AUUGAACGCUGGCGGAAUGCUUUACACAUGCAAGUCGAACGGUAGAGGGGGCAACCCCUUGAGAGUGGCGAACGGGUGAGUAAUAUAUCGGAACAUACCCUAGAGUGGGGAUAACGUAGCGAAAGUUACGCUAAUACCGCAUACGCACUAAGGUGGAAAGUGGGGGAUCUUCGGACCUCAUGCUCAUGGAGUGGCCGAUAUCUGAUUAGCUAGUUGGUGAGGUAAAGGCUCACCAAGCCGACGAUCUGUAGCUGGUCUGAGAGGACGACCAGCCACACUGGGACUGAGACACGGCCCAGACUCCUACGGGAGGCAGCAGUGGGAAUUUUGGACAAUGGGCGCAAGCCUGAUCCAGCAAUGCCGCGUGCAGGA
This 372-nucleotide ribosomal RNA is filed under the name uncultured bacterium. RNAcentral describes it as "bacterial SSU rRNA". It matches the Rfam family "Bacterial small subunit ribosomal RNA", at positions 30 to 408 of the family's 1533-position model. The record is from RNAcentral.